This 412-nucleotide ribosomal RNA is filed under the name Amolops marmoratus (marbled sucker frog). Its description in RNAcentral is "partial 16S ribosomal RNA". It matches the Rfam family "Bacterial large subunit ribosomal RNA", at positions 1835 to 2459 of the family's 2925-position model. The record is from RNAcentral. Lineage: Eukaryota; Metazoa; Chordata; Amphibia; Anura; Ranidae.
CCUGACAAAUAUAGGAGGUCCAGCCUGCCCAGUGACAAAGUUCAACGGCCGCGGUACCCUAACCGUGCGAAGGUAGCAUAAUCACUUGUUCUUUAAAUGAGGACUAGUAUCAACGGCACCACGAGGACUCUACUGUCUCCUCCCUCCAAUCAGUGAAACUGAUCCCCCCGUGAAGAAGCGGGGAUUAUUCUAUAAGACGAGAAGACCCCAUGGAGCUUUAAACCCAAUAGGCAUCUCUGCAAACUUAAACCACCUUAGCCUUAGAGAUAUGCACUAUUAGUUUUAGGCUGGGGUGACCGCGGAGUAAAACUAAACCUCCACGACAAACGGGCUAACGCCCUGAUCUACGAACCACACUUCUAAGAACCAAUAUAUUGUUGUCCAAUGACCCAAUUAUAUGAUCAACGAACCA